ACGUAGGUACCGAGCGUUAUCCGGAUUUACUGGGCGUAAAGCGUGUUCAGGCGGCCUAGCAAGUCGGGCAUGAAAUCUCUCGGCUCAACCGAGAGAGGCUGUCCGAUACUGCUGGGCUUGAGGACGGUAGAGGGUGGUGGAAUUCCGCGUGUAGUGGUGAAAUGCGUAGAUAUGCGGAGGAACACCAGUGGCGAAGGCGGCCACCUGGACCGUCCCUGACGCUCAAACACGAAAGCUAGGGUAGCGAACGGG
Molecule: ribosomal RNA, 252 nt
Filed under: uncultured bacterium
Lineage: Bacteria
Description: partial 16S ribosomal RNA
Rfam family: Bacterial small subunit ribosomal RNA
Source: RNAcentral